RNAcentral lists this long non-coding RNA (219 nucleotides) under Elaeis guineensis (African oil palm). RNAcentral's name for it is "long non-coding RNA (EGUI_LNC045597)". Lineage: Eukaryota; Viridiplantae; Streptophyta; Magnoliopsida; Arecales; Arecaceae. The record is from RNAcentral.
AGUGGGCUGUAAAACUUUGGCUCAAUGCAAUACCAAAUCACCAACUCAGAAUUCCUUGGUUUUGACCCGAGCAUUAUAGUACCUGGCCACCCUUUGAUGGUAAGCAGCCAUUCUGAUAGCGGCAUGCUUCUUGCUUUCUUCAAUCAGAUUGAGGUUGGCUCGGAGCCAUACAGAGUUGGUAUCUUUAUUAUAUUCCUCAAUUCUGAGGGAAGGGAGCCC